This 78-nucleotide transfer RNA is filed under the name Candidatus Bathyarchaeota archaeon. RNAcentral describes it as "tRNA-Ile". It matches the Rfam family "tRNA". Rfam says of the family: Transfer RNA (tRNA) molecules are approximately 80 nucleotides in length. Their secondary structure includes four short double-helical elements and three loops (D, anti-codon, and T loops). The record is from RNAcentral. RNAcentral also lists the same sequence under 2 other names. Lineage: Archaea; Thermoproteati; Candidatus Bathyarchaeota.
GGGCCCGUAGCUCAGCCUGGUUAGAGCGACAGGCUCAUAACCUGUUGGUCGGGCGUUCAAAUCGCCCCGGGCCCACCA